AUGGUGCUGCUGGCUGGGACCCAGCCACAGGGUGGCGGGGUGCGCUGCAUGACCCCGCCACCGCCGUCCCCACUCCUAGGCACCCAGGUCGAGGAGGACCGUGCUGACUGCAAAGAGUUCCAGGACUUCUCCAGUCUGCCCGACACCUGCAGCAUCGCCUGGGACGACUCUUUCUACCCUUUCCAGGAGGAGGAGGAGCAUGGUGUUGAGGGCUUGGAGAGCGUCCUGGAGGAGGGCGUCCUGGAGGAGGUCGUAUUGGAGGCGUGGGGCUGCUGCAGACGUUGGUGCGGCGGGGGGUGAGCGUUGAGAAGACGCAGGAGACUGACCACAAUGGCUAGACCGGCCUUGAUGUCGCCUGCUACCACGGCUUUGUGAAUAUACCCUGGUGGCCUUAGCUGAGUGCCACCACAUCGAAGUCAACUGGCAGGACAGGGAGGGGAACGCAACCCUAAUCAUAGCUGCACAGGCAGGAGCUGCCGCCCAGUCAGGGCAUGCUAUCAUCACCAACUACUUGUUGAACUACGUCCUGGGUCUUGACCUUGAAGGAUGGACGCGUUCGGGUUGAAAGCCGCCAUGCAGGGUGGAACCAGUGGCAUCCGAGCCCUGAGCUGGCAGGGGCGGGUGUCCACGCGAGGGCCCCCGCCGUGGGAUGCUGCCAGAGGAGUAGCCACUUACACGUCCGCCUCAUUCAGAGGCUCCUGGAGCGCCCCUGCCAGCAGCGGUUGGGGAAAAAGUACCAGCUUGAGCUGCCUCCGCUCCACGAGAGGGCGCCAAUGAUCGAGGGCUCGAAGAACUGCCUGCAGAGGGUCAGGGACUGCGAGCUGUCCGCGCUGACGCGGCGCUCCACCUGUGGCCCGGAGGACCGGGGCGCCCUGGACCACAUGGUCAGGAUGACCACCAGCCUCUAACAGCCCCGCCGUGGCCCUCGCGUGCCAGACUGUGUGCCCCCAGAGCUCCCUGGGCGUGGGGAAGAGGCGACUGGCGGUGCAGGAAAUCCAGACGGCUCAGGAAAUUCUGGCGACGCGGCGGGGGGUGGGGAGGCAGGCGCAGGAGGCAGGAGAAGCGGAGGGCGCAGAGUAGCACAAGCGGCCCUACCCAGAGGCCGCGGGUUCCCGGGAGGGCUCCCCAAGAGCCGGCCUCCCACCUGUCCCGCUGCCAGGGUCCUGGGGCUCUGCCGACCCCGCCCCACGGAAGGCCAGUCUCCUGCCCCUGCAGCGCCUGCGGCGGAGCAGCUUAUGGCCCGGCGUGGUGGUGCCCCGGAUCCGCCUCUGCAAGGCGCCCGCGCCCACCUUCCAGCCCCAGAGGCCGGCGUGGAAGGGCAGCACCAAGGACAGUGGCCACCUGCGGAUACCCAAGUGGCCUUACAAGGUGGCCACGGAGAAGAAACCGGAGGCUGAGGAGGCCGAGAAGAAGCGCCAGGCCAAGGUGCAGGAGAAGGGCCCGCCGCCCUGGAAGAAGAGGACGAUGGGAAGUUGACACUGGGAAUGGUAUGGAGCCCCCACUUCUACACUAAGCCUUGGGUGUCUGCUGCUUCCAGGUCACAAAUGGAUAUUUCUGGUCCUGACCAGCCACUACCACACUGUAACCGAUGCUCAUAGUCUCCAGGGAUGUGCAGAACAGCAAUGGCAGGACAGCAAACAACUGGCGAUUUCCCCAGGUCCCACGCUGUUCCGGAGUGGGCGUGUUGGGUCCCUGUUCCCAAUGUGUUCCAUCCUUACCCAGGUGCACAGGGUACCUUGGGGCCAGCACAGGGCUUGUCAAGUAAUGCUCCUGGUGUCCACAAAACAGCUCCAGAGAUACCUGCAUUUUGAAAAGCCUGCCAAGCCAACAAGUAUGGGGCAGGACCCAGAUUGCUUUGGCAAAUAUGAAGGUGAGCUGGCCACUUGCCUGGUGAGUAGAAGCUGCCUUUACCUGGCCAGUGUAUGCAACUUGAGAGAAAAUGACAAUUUCACGGGGGGGUUCUGGUGGGACUGGGAAGCCUGACCUUCCCCGGAGCUGUGGACGCGAGUCUGUUGUGGGUGAAAGAGAAGCCCCUGGGGUAAGGCCAGACCCCAGGCCUGAAAAGGAUGCAAAGCCUGCUGUUUCAGGCUGUCAGGAAGAAUCGUGGGUACAAAGUGAAUAUGAUGAAAUGCAUCCCAGAGAGGAAAUGAAUGUGCCCUCACUAAGAAGUGGGUCUGGCUGCCAGGUCUCUGGCAGCCCACCGGCAAGAGGACUACAACCCCUGCAGCCCUGCCAUCCACACUACAUGAUGUGGGGAGUCUGUCUCUUCACUCUUACCCUGGGGACCCAAGCCUGCUUUGAGGAGUGAGUCACAGCCCUGAUGUGUGCCUUGCAUUACUCUUUCCCCAGGUGUGCCCGGAGACUCACGCUUGCUCAUUUCUGUCCUGACACAUCUCGCUGGUCCUGCGGUGGUCAGAGUCCUCGUGUUCUGUGUCAGCUCCUAGACAUCAUUAGUCUUUCACGUGAUAAAGUAAUAGGAAGCCAUGAGAAAAAACCUUCCUCAAGUCCUAAGCAACAUGAUUUCCACUCAAAUGGUCUCAGAUAUCACACAAGCCUAACAGAAAGAACCCAUCUGCCUCUUCUGUCUGAACUAACUCGUAGACCCCAUCAUCACAGGCUGCGGCCCCAGCUUCUGUAGGCCCUUUCCCUGCCUUUCCUGGGAAGAAACCAAAAUUUCUACCUGCUGCCCACAUGGGGGGAACUGUCACAGCAGGAGGACAUCAAAACCAAUAUUCUUCUGAAGAAUCCAGUGUGCAUUGCCAGAAAAGCCAGUCUCUGGCAAUUCCUGAGCUCUAAUGAAUAAAUGUGUGGGAUCCACAGGGAGAAAAAAAGAUAUUUGGAGCGGUGGAUAAGAGCCUGCUUCAUUUGCUGUUCUGGAACACUCAGGAGCACGGGGCUCCCAGACACAGUGAGUCAGAGCAGCGGCACAUGCCCCAGUGUGUGAGCUCAGAGCUCAGUGCUCAACCCAUCACUCGACUAAAGAACAGAUUUCAUGACCUCGACCAUGGCCCUCCAGGCGGUUCUAGGCAGGUCCCAGCAAAAAAGUACUGGGGUAGAAACCAAGGACCAGGCCCACAGAAACAGGGACCCCAGGGGCUUGCAAGGGGGAGUGCUGACUGCCAGGAGGCUUUUCAAAAUGCAGGUAUCUCUGGAGCUGUUUUGUGGACACCAGGAGCAUUACUUGACAAGCCCUGUGCUGGCCCCAAGGUACCCUGUGCACCUGGGUAAGGAUGGAACACAUUGGGAACAGGGACCCAACACGCCCACUCCGGAACAGCGUGGGACCUGGGGAAAUCGCCAGUUGUUUGCUGUCCUGCCAUUGCUGUUCUGCACAUCCCUGGAGACUAUGAGCAUCGGUUACAGUGUGGUAGUGGCUGGUCAGGAAUGUCUGGCCACCCACCAAGGGUCAGAUGCCACAUCAGCCCGAGCGAAGCUGCCAGACACUGGCUGUUCCAAUGACAAUUAGACAUUCUUGAGAAGGUGGAGCCAUUUGUGAGAGCUCAAGAUGGGUGUCCUGGAAGUGCCACUUAAAGGCGACUGAGGCCUCUCAAAAUCCCUCUGUUAGAGCUGCAGCUCUCCAUGUGGGAUGCAGUGCAGUCACCUAUGGAGCUUUAGGACAGGCCCAGGGCUCAGCUCCCCAGACCAGUGCCUUCACAACUUUCGCAGCAGGGAUAGCCGGCUUGGAAAGGCAUGCCUGGGAGACCAUG
RNAcentral lists this long non-coding RNA (3707 nucleotides) under Homo sapiens (human). RNAcentral describes it as "non-protein coding lnc-TRIM64C-4:1". The record is from RNAcentral. Lineage: Eukaryota; Metazoa; Chordata; Mammalia; Primates; Hominidae.